Molecule: ribosomal RNA, 321 nt
Filed under: uncultured bacterium
Lineage: Bacteria
Description: bacterial SSU rRNA
Rfam family: Bacterial small subunit ribosomal RNA
Source: RNAcentral
AUUGAACGCUGGCGGCAUGCCUUACACAUGCAAGUCGAACGGUAACGGGCCUUCGGGUGCCGACGAGUGGCGAACGGGUGAGUAAUGUAUCGGAACGUACCUUUCAGUGGGGGAUAACGUAGCGAAAGUUACGCUAAUACCGCAUAUUCUGUGAGCAGGAAAGCAGGGGAUCUUCGGACCUUGCGCUUUUGGAGCGGCCGAUGUCGGAUUAGCUAGUUGGUGGGUAAAGGCCCACCAAGGCGACGAUCUGUAGCGGGUCUGAGAGGAUGAUCCGCCACACUGGAACUGAGACACGGUCCAGACUCCUACGGAGGCAGCAGU